RNAcentral lists this ribosomal RNA (546 nucleotides) under uncultured bacterium. RNAcentral's name for it is "bacterial SSU rRNA". It matches the Rfam family "Bacterial small subunit ribosomal RNA", at positions 153 to 677 of the family's 1533-position model. The record is from RNAcentral.
GAAAGGUGUGCUAAUACCGGAUACGUCUAUGUUAAUAUCCUUUUUAUAGAGAAAGGUGGCCUCUGAUUCAAGCUACUGUGCGGGGAGGAGCUUGCGUACCAUUAGCUAGUUGGUAGGGUAACGGCCUACCAAGGCGACGAUGGUUAGCGGGUCUGAGAGGAUGAUCCGCCACACUGGAACUGAAACACGGACCAGACUCCUACGGGAGGCAGCAGUGAGGAAUAUUGCGCAAUGGGGGCAACCCUGACGCAGCGACGCCGCGUGGAUGAUGAAGGCCUUCGGGUUGUAAAAUCCUGUCAGAUGGGAAGAAGUGCUAUAUGGUUAAUAUCUGUAUAGUUUGACGGUACCAUCAAAGGAAGCACCGGCUAACUCCGUGCCAGCAGCCGCGGUAAUACGGAGGGUGCAAGCGUUGUUCGGAAUUACUGGGCGUAAAGCGCGCGUAGGCGGCUAUGUAAGUCAGAUGUGAAAGCCCGCGGCUCAACCGUGGAAGUGCAUUUGAAACUGUAUAGCUUGAGUACUGGAGGGGGUAGUGGAAUUCCCGGUGUA